CUUAUCAAAGACGUCUCCACAGCUAGGUGGAGACCACCUUCGCCGUCAGCCGGGAUCAAAGACGUCUUCACAGGUGGGUGGAGACCACCAUCGCCGUGAACCGGGCCAACCUCCUCCAAGUCGACGUCUUGACCUCAUCAAAGAAGUCUCCCUCAAGGACCGCGAGCUCAGGAUUGUGGGCGAGGUCGGUGCCAAGAUCCGAGUCUUAGACUUCAUUUCUCCCGAUGUCCAGGUUCUAAAUUUAAUGGUUUAAAAACCCGAAUUGAAGACGUAGCUGGAAGAAGAAGAAGAGGACGUGUAGUACUAAGGAAAAGAAAGCUGAGAAGGACACAAUUGUUUGUUACUCAAAAGGCGCUUGUAUCCUAAUUAUUUGGCGAGUUCUAUAUAAAGGGAAAAAAAUGAGCGAAUGCGAUGGUCUUGAAG
Vitis vinifera (wine grape) is the source of this 423-nucleotide long non-coding RNA. RefSeq lists it as uncharacterized. The record is from RefSeq and is a predicted model, not a curated record. The transcript is spliced from 3 exons. NCBI's taxonomy places the organism in Eukaryota, Viridiplantae, Streptophyta, Magnoliopsida, Vitales, Vitaceae.